UAUCAAGGAAGCACUGCCGGAGCUCUGGGAGGCUAACGAGAAGUCUGAAGAUGUGAGGUAUUCAGGGAAGGUUGCCAUUGAGACUUCAGUUAAGGCAUAGCAUAUUUGUAGGUGGGCAUUUUCUCAACUCUAUCUAAUGGGGUCACACGAUGACAUCUUAUUUGUUUGAAAUUAAACACGCUUUUUUUUCCCCUCAACUUUGGUAACAUUUGAGCCAUUGAGCUCUCACAUUAGCUUCUGUUGUUCUUUGUUUCUCUGAUUUGUAGUUUAAAUGAUCUUAGCUUCCUGUAUUGGGGGCUUGUAGCAGGGUUGGCCUUCCUGCAUGGGUUAUUUGGAAUAUGAAUCUUGAUUUAUUAUAGGGAGAAAUAAAAAAAAAAAAAGUCUCUCUCCUCAUUCUAGUGAGCUAUGUGAUAUGGCAAUCACCUGCUAUUAUGGUUAUAUUGUUGAUGCCACCUGUGGUUAACAAUAUUUCCCAUAAAAACUCAAUUCCCACCCUUUAAUUCUCCUCCAUUACCACCGUUCCCAAACAAUGUUUUGGCCUGCCAAAUGCAAUCUCUAUUUUUCAUUCGAGAGUAGAUAUGGAAAGUAUACCCCUAUCUCAUGAGAUUCCCCACGCAUCACAUGACAAUGAACGGAACAGAGAACAGUAGUGGAGAAAAUUCUCCCUACCGGCCGUGGGAUAGAUCGAAAAUGGCUCCUGCUGCGUCCUGGCCAUUCUUAAGGCAGAGUAAACCGCGCUUGCCCACUUGUGCUGUUUUUGGUGUAUGACGCAAAAUUCAUUUUGCAACACAGUAGGCUAUGAAGCACAUUUGCGUGAGAUUGUGAAUUUGGUGACAUGAAUGACGGAACUAAGUUGCAGAUACAAUCUACGGAGUUCCCUGCCUAGCAGAUGAUAAAUAUGUGAGGUUGUUUUGUAGGAAUUUUGUAUGGAAAAAAUACACUAAACAGAAGAAAAGUAGCAUAUGCUCUUCUGAAGUACCUUUGACGUUUCUAUCACCAUUCUUGUUUUUUAAAAACAUAAUUACUUUGCAAUAAAAAGCACGGAGACCCCUCUGGCCUCCACAAAAUCAUCAUAAUGAGUUGAACUAGCCUCUAUCGCAAAAAAAAUGGACGAAUGGCAGAGAACUUCAAUAAAUUUUCAUUCUUUCAAAGAAUACUUUUUCCCUGUGAAUGCUUGAAAUUUAGGUUCUUCAACCUUCUGAGGUGCCUCUUGACUGCUCUUAUUUGGGGCAUUCUUUGGUGUUCCACUUCGGGGUUGGUUUACAUUUGAACCAAAGACGAGCUUCCCAGAGUGUGAACAAGAUGCAGAGUUUGAUGGCUUGGAGCUACUACUAUCUUUCCCAACCUCUUGAGGGUUCUGUUUCAGAUUGUUAGCUGAUGCAGUUGCUAGUGCUGAUAGUUUUCCAUCCAAACGUCUUGCUACACCAGUGAAUGGACUGAACUUUGGCAUCUUUUUGGCUGGCUCUUCUUCAACUUCAGGUGGUGUCUUAUUUGACCUAGGAGAUGGAGCUGGCUUUUCAGGUUCUUUAUAGUCAAGAGGCGGAGCAAAAUCUACCUCACAGUCUGUUUCAAUAAUACUGAUUGCAGAGCAUGGUUUUGUUUCAACUAUGUCAAUGUAGUACUUCUUGUUGUUAUAAGCAACCAUUAUUGUAUCACCAGUUGUUAAACAAGAGUAGUUCCUCAAUGAAGUCUCUAAGAUUGCUUUGGGGUUGGAGAUAUCUAAGAAGUCCUUAGUGUGGGGCUGCAGCUUUACAUAAGUUCCCUUUGUGAGGCUGGCAUUUUUUAAUUGCACAAUGUCUCCCUCUUGCAGGAGCAUGUUUUCCAUCAUCCAAUAGGGCAAGAAUAUGAUUCCCUCAUCAGCAAUAAAUUCUAGAACCCCACAAUGUGUAACUCGCUCAACAGAUGGAUUUCGGAGUUCAAAAAGCAUUGGGUAGUCAAUGUGCAAAGAAGCUGGAGAGCAAACAUAUAAAACUUGUGAUUGAUGCUAUGAUAACAAAACCAGGAAUACAAAAAGGAAAAAAAAAAAAUCCAUCUUAAAACACAUGACCAGAAAGCAGAAAUUAAAGAGAUGAAGCAACUGGAAAAAAAUAUUGAAAAUUAGUUGCUUACCAAGGUGAUCAAGAGCUGAGGGAGGCAUAAUAACUAGAAGCAACAAGAUUAAUCAAUUACAAACCUUUGUAAAGAAAUUGUCAAGGAAAAAGGUGGGAAAAAAACAACUUAAAUGAGAAGAUAAACAUACUCUUAUCGCCCUUUUCCACAUGUGUCUGCAAAUAUUCACAUGGUUAGAAUGAGUUUGGAGUAAUAUAUUUAAGUGGUACUCAUCAACCACAAAUACAAUGAUCAAAUGAAAAUAUGCUGCAUAAAAGAUGGUUACUGAAAAGCAGGAAGCCAACAAAUCCAUUACAAGGAAUUGAGAAUUAUUAAAAACAAUUUCAGCACUUAUUUAUCAAACCUUAUCAAUGAAAGAGACAGGGUAACAGCGAUAACUCCGUUCAAACGUUGAACUGUGGGGGUCUAGCCGAGCCAUGUCUAUCGAGUUAAACAGCUCCAACCCACAAGAUGUCCACCUGAAUAAAUGUGAAAAGUAAAGAUAGAGCAGAGAAAACAAAUAACCUAAUGGACAAAAAGAAAACCCAAUUCGUAUUAAAAAUGAAUCAAACCCAAAAACACCUCAUUUACGAGAGAAUGUUGAGAUAAUUUCAAAACAUGUAUAAUGACAUGUUUAUAUACACAAAACACACAAGCACUACUGCUAUUGAGUCUUACCAAAAUAUUCGAAGGAAAACAAAAAGAUCAAGAUAUAGUACCCAAAAAGCGAUUAAAGCAGAGAUAUAGGAUCAAAACCUAUGGAAUCAGAGAUUGACUGAUGACGACGGGGAGCCAACACAGUUUUGGGUGAAUGGAGGAAGGCGGUCCCCGGAUGGGUGGAACUUGCUGUGGGUGAAUGACGGUUAUUUAAGGAGAGUGCGGGUCCUUUGAUUUUAUAGGUAUAGGAGAAUGUCUAUCGUAUGCAUAUCGGACACCAACUCAUUUUGUACCAAGCAGUCCUGAUGCUCAUCGAAUCGUACGACUGCUAUUGCAGAUCGCAACCUCGUGGGAGAGGAUCCCACCUUGAAACAUGGGCAAAAAAAU
This 3132-nucleotide unclassified non-coding RNA is filed under the name Hevea brasiliensis (rubber tree). Lineage: Eukaryota; Viridiplantae; Streptophyta; Magnoliopsida; Malpighiales; Euphorbiaceae. The record is from RNAcentral.